UCAAGUAAUUAAGUGCAUGUGGUGGAUGCCUUGGCAGUCAGAGGCGAUGAAAGACGUGAUAGCCUGCGAAAAGCUCCGGGGAGGCGGCAAAUAUCCUUUGAUCCGGAGAUGUCUGAAUGGGGGAACCCACCUACUUUAAGGUAGGUAUUGCAACAUGAAUACAUAGUGUUGCAAGGCGAACGAGGGGAAGUGAAACAUCUCAGUACCCUUAGGAAAAGAAAUCAAUUGAGAUUCCCUCAGUAGCGGCGAGCGAACGGGGAUCAGCCCAUUAAGUUAUGUGUGUUUUAGUGGAACGCUCUGGGAAGUGCGAACGUAGAGGGUGAUAUUCCCGUACACGAAAGGGCACACAUAAUGAUGACGAGUAGGGCGAGGCACGUGAAACCUUGUCUGAAUAUGGGGGGACCAUCCUCCAAGGCUAAAUACUCCUGACUGACCGAUAGUGAACCAGUACCGUGAGGGAAAGGCGAAAAGAACCCCUGUGAGGGGAGUGAAAUAGAUCCUGAAACCGCAUGCAUACAAGCAGUGGGAGCACCUUCGUGGUGUGACUGCGUACCUUUUGUAUAAUGGGUCAGCGACUUAUAUUCAGUAGCGAGGUUAACCGUAUAGGGGAGCCGUAGAGAAAUCGAGUCUUAAUAGGGCGUUUAGUUGCUGGGUAUAGACCCGAAACCAGGCGAUCUAUCCAUGAGCAGGUUGAAGGUUGGGUAACACUAACUGGAGGACCGAACCCACUGUCGUUGAAAAGCCAGGGGAUGACUUGUGGAUAGGGGUGAAAGGCUAAUCAAGCCUGGUGAUAGCUGGUUCUCCCCGAAAGCUAUUUAGGUAGCGCCUCGGACGAAUACCAUAGGGGGUAGAGCACUGUUUCGGCUAGGGGGUCAUCCCGACUUACCAAACCGAUGCAAACUCCGAAUACCUAUGAGUACUAUCCGGGAGACAGACUGCGGGUGCUAACGUCCGUAGUCAAGAGGAAAACAAUCCAGACCGCCAGCUAAGGCCCCAAAAUCAUAGUUAAGUGGGAAACGAUGUGGGAAGGCAUAGACAGCUAGGAGGUUGGCUUAGAAGCAGCCACCCUUUAAAGAAAGCGUAAUAGCUCACUAGUCGAGUCGGCCUGCGCGGAAGAUGUAACGGGGCUAAAACUAUGUGCCGAAGCUGCGGAUGUAUACUUUGUAUACGUGGUAGGGGAGCGUUCUGUAAGCCGAUGAAGGUGUGUUGAGAAGCAUGCUGGAGGUAUCAGAAGUGCGAAUGCUGACGUGAGUAACGACAAAACGGGUGAAAAACCCGUUCGCCGAAAGACCAAGGGUUCCAGUCCAACGUUAAUCGGGGCUGGGUGAGUCGACCCCUAAGGCGAGGCCGAAAGGCGUAGUCGAUGGGAAAAUGGUUAAUAUUCCAUUACUUCUGUGUAAUGCGAUGAGAGGACGGAGAAGGCUAAAUCAGCCUGGCGUUGGUUGUCCAGGUGAAAGGAUGUAGGCAUGUAUCUUAGGCAAAUCCGGGGUACUCUAUGCUGAGAUCUGAUAGCAAGCUGUACUUGUACAGCGAAGUGGUUGAUGCCAUGCUUCCAGGAAAAGUCUCUAAGCUUCAGUUACACAGGAAUCGUACCCGAAACCGACACAGGUGGUCAGGUCGAGUAGACCAAGGCGCUUGAGAGAACUCUGCUGAAGGAACUAGGCAAAAUGGUACCGUAACUUCGGGAGAAGGUACGCUGUUGUUGGUGAUGGAACUCGCUUCCUGAGCUGACGACAGCCGCAGAAACCAGGCCGCUGCAACUGUUUAUUAAAAACAUAGCACUCUGCAAACACGAAAGUGGACGUAUAGGGUGUGAUGCCUGCCCGGUGCUGGAAGGUUAAUUGAUGGGGUUAGCGUAAGCGAAGCUCUUGAUCGAAGCCCCAGUAAACGGCGGCCGUAACUAUAACGGUCCUAAGGUAGCGAAAUUCCUUGUCGGGUAAGUUCCGACCUGCACGAAUGGCAUAAUGAUGGCGGCGCUGUCUCCAGCAGAGGCUCAGUGAAAUCGAAAUCGCUGUGAAGAUGCAGUGUACCCGCGGCUAGACGGAAAGACCCCGUGAACCUUUACUGCAGCUUGACACUGAACUUUGACCUUACUUGUGUAGGAUAGGUGGGAGGCUUUGAAGCUGGAACGCUAGUUCCAGUGGAGCCGUCCUUGAAAUACCACCCUGGUAAUGUUGAGGUUCUAACUCUGUCCCGUGAUCCGGGACGAGGACCGUGUCUGGUGGGUAGUUUGACUGGGGCGGUCUCCUCCUAAAGAGUAACGGAGGAGUACGAAGGUGCGCUCAGCGUGGUCGGAAAUCACGCGUAGAGUAUAAAGGCAAAAGCGCGCUUAACUGCGAGACCCACAAGUCGAGCAGGUACGAAAGUAGGUCUUAGUGAUCCGGCGGUUCUGUAUGGAAGGGCCAUCGCUCAACGGAUAAAAGGUACUCUGGGGAUAACAGGCUGAUACCGCCCAAGAGUUCAUAUCGACGGCGGUGUUUGGCACCUCGAUGUCGGCUCAUCUCAUCCUGGGGCUGAAGCAGGUCCCAAGGGUAUGGCUGUUCGCCAUUUAAAGAGGUACGCGAGCUGGGUUUAGAACGUCGUGAGACAGUUCGGUCCCUAUCUACCGUGGGCGCUGGAAAUUUGAGAGGAUCUGCUCCUAGUACGAGAGGACCAGAGUGGACGAACCUCUGGUGUACCGGUUGUGACGCCAGUCGCAUCGCCGGGUAGCUAUGUUCGGAAGGGAUAACCGCUGAAAGCAUCUAAGCGGGAAGCCUACCUCAAGAUAAGAUUUCCCUAGGACUUUAUGUCCUCUAAAGAGCCGUUCGAGACUAGGACGUUGAUAGGUUGGAUGUGGAAGCAUAGUGAUAUGUGAAGCUGACCAAUACUAAUUGCUCGUGAGGCUUGACUAU
RNAcentral lists this ribosomal RNA (2891 nucleotides) under Acinetobacter baumannii 470922. Its description in RNAcentral is "bacterial LSU rRNA". It matches the Rfam family "Bacterial large subunit ribosomal RNA". Lineage: Bacteria; Pseudomonadati; Pseudomonadota; Gammaproteobacteria; Moraxellales; Moraxellaceae. The record is from RNAcentral.